This is a long non-coding RNA of Varroa destructor (honeybee mite), 511 nucleotides long. Lineage: Eukaryota; Metazoa; Arthropoda; Arachnida; Mesostigmata; Varroidae. The record is from RefSeq and is a predicted model, not a curated record.
CCGAGGUCCAGACAUUGUUGUAUGCUCAGACGACAACGUUCAAGAACUCCGGCAGCUUGCUACAAUGUGGAAGCAAACAGAACACCUCUGAUAGUGACAGCAUCCGCCAAUGACUCGAGUCGACAGUUUUAACAGCGUUUGCCAAGCCCUGAUAUUCGCUUCUCGAUUGCAGUUGCGCUUAUCAAAUGCAUUAUGACCAUUGAAUUAUCAUUCACUCCACCUCGAGCGGCUGACGCCGGCGGACAACAGGAGAUCGAUCGAAGGAACGGACUUCUUUAGAUGUUUCAGGCGCACGUGCCGUCGAUGCGGGUUAAUAGCGUGGACAGUUUCAUCAUAACCUAAUGAGUAAAAAUGAUCUCCGGGGUAACCGUGAUAGUACAGGUGCCGCUGCCCCAGUGGCCAAUCAUCGCCAGCCAUGUCGGAUUCGACUGCGCGUCGCGAUAUCAGCAGUCGUAUGGAUGGAAGUGACGGCGGUACGCAUGGAAAGCCAGCAUUAGCAUCAGCUUAUAUG